CCCUGCCAUUUGUACACACCGCCCGUCGCUCCUACCGAUUGGGUGAUGCGGUGAGCCUUUCGGACGGGCGCUUCGGCGCCUGAAAGUUAUGCAAAUCUCAUCACUUAGAGGAAGGAGAAGUCGUAACA
RNAcentral lists this ribosomal RNA (128 nucleotides) under uncultured eukaryote. Its description in RNAcentral is "partial small subunit ribosomal RNA". It matches the Rfam family "Eukaryotic small subunit ribosomal RNA", at positions 1651 to 1796 of the family's 1831-position model. The record is from RNAcentral.